UCUUUGAUAGCUUAAAUAGAGCAUGGCUUUGAAGCAGCCAGGGUGAAAACUUUCUUAAAGAA
This 62-nucleotide transfer RNA is filed under the name Phrynus sp. 1 SEM-2008. RNAcentral's name for it is "tRNA-Phe". The record is from RNAcentral. Lineage: Eukaryota; Metazoa; Arthropoda; Arachnida; Amblypygi; Phrynidae.